RNAcentral lists this transfer RNA (70 nucleotides) under Badis siamensis. It matches the Rfam family "tRNA". From Rfam's summary of the family: Transfer RNA (tRNA) molecules are approximately 80 nucleotides in length. Their secondary structure includes four short double-helical elements and three loops (D, anti-codon, and T loops). Lineage: Eukaryota; Metazoa; Chordata; Actinopteri; Anabantiformes; Badidae. The record is from RNAcentral.
GGAGUUGUGCCUGAAAUAAAGGGUCACUUUGAUGUAGUGAACCAUGGGGGUUAAAAUCCACCCAGCUCCU